This 253-nucleotide unclassified non-coding RNA is filed under the name uncultured Lachnospiraceae bacterium. RNAcentral describes it as "contains 16S-23S intergenic spacer region". It matches the Rfam family "Bacterial small subunit ribosomal RNA", at positions 524 to 776 of the family's 1533-position model. Lineage: Bacteria; Bacillati; Bacillota; Clostridia; Lachnospirales; Lachnospiraceae. The record is from RNAcentral.
UACGUAGGGGGCAAGCGUUAUCCGGAUUUACUGGGUGUAAAGGGAGCGUAGGUGGCAUAGCAAGUCAGAUGUGAAAGCCCGGGGCUUAACCUCGGGACUGCAUUUGAAACUGUUAAGCUAGAGUACAGGAGAGGCAAGUGGAAUUCCUAGUGUAGCGGUGAAAUGCGUAGAUAUUAGGAGGAACACCAGUGGCGAAGGCGGCUUGCUGGACUGUUACUGACACUGAGGCUCGAAAGCGUGGGGAGCAAACAGG